AAAGUUAAUUGCUCGCAGAGAGAGAGAGAGAGAGAGAGAUGGAGCCUUCCGUGCUUCCAGCUCGUUUUCGAUGUUGCGACUUUCGAAUCGUCGAUCGGCUCUGUUAAACUUGAUCUAGAGUAUUUGAGUACCUAGAAAAUAAAUUUUAUGAUUUUACGAUAUCAUUUGCAUAGUAAACGAAGGGGCUCAAAAUCAAUGGCUGAAAAUAAAAAUCUUACAAAAUAUAAUAAUAUGACAUUAAAAUUUUAAAUCAAAGAUAUUGAUCUUGUUUUAUAUAAUAUAAAGAAUUUUCUAUCAAAAUUUCAUAUGAUCAGAUUAUUUCUACACCGUUAAACUUGCAAACGGCUCACUACGGCCAUUGAAAUUUGUUGAUUUUGAGCCCAUUCAAUCACUAGGCAAAUGAUAUCGAAAAAUAAUAAAAUUUAUUUUUUACAUACUCCGCAUACUCUAAAUCAAGUUUAAUCGAUCGACGAUUCGAAAGUCGCAAUAUCGAAAACGAGCUGGAAGCACGGAAGGCUCCGUGCUUCCGAUAGCAUAGUAGCCUCACUCUAUAUAUAUAUAUAUAUAGAGAGAGAGAGAGAGAGUAGAGCUCCUGUGCUUUUAAAAGCACAGCUCUGGUGCUUGUGAUUUUUUCACCAUUGGAUUGCUCUCGCCUCGAGAUCUG
Molecule: long non-coding RNA, 664 nt
Filed under: Ananas comosus (pineapple)
Lineage: Eukaryota; Viridiplantae; Streptophyta; Magnoliopsida; Poales; Bromeliaceae
Description: long non-coding RNA (ACOM_LNC014020)
Source: RNAcentral